Molecule: microRNA, 25 nt
Filed under: Equus caballus (horse)
Lineage: Eukaryota; Metazoa; Chordata; Mammalia; Perissodactyla; Equidae
Description: eca-miR-8944
Source: miRBase by way of RNAcentral
UUGGAGCUGAGCUUGGCUGUCACCC